This 73-nucleotide transfer RNA is filed under the name Cricetulus griseus (Chinese hamster). It matches the Rfam family "tRNA". From Rfam's summary of the family: Transfer RNA (tRNA) molecules are approximately 80 nucleotides in length. Their secondary structure includes four short double-helical elements and three loops (D, anti-codon, and T loops). Further hydrogen bonds mediate the characteristic L-shaped molecular structure. tRNAs have two regions of fundamental functional importance: the anti-codon, which is responsible for specific mRNA codon recognition, and the 3' end, to which the tRNAs corresponding amino acid is attached (by aminoacyl-tRNA synthetases). tRNAs cope with the degeneracy of the genetic code in two manners: having more than one tRNA (with a specific anti-codon) for a particular amino acid; and 'wobble' base-pairing, i.e. permitting non-standard base-pairing at the 3rd anti-codon position. Lineage: Eukaryota; Metazoa; Chordata; Mammalia; Rodentia; Cricetidae. The record is from Rfam by way of RNAcentral.
UCGGGUGUGGUUCAUUUGGUGGAGUGUUUGCCUAACAUGCAAGCAGUCCUGGGUUCUAUCCCUAGCACCAUAU